This 318-nucleotide ribosomal RNA is filed under the name Triticum aestivum (bread wheat). RNAcentral describes it as "partial small subunit ribosomal RNA". Lineage: Eukaryota; Viridiplantae; Streptophyta; Magnoliopsida; Poales; Poaceae. The record is from RNAcentral.
AUGUGUAGCAAGAAGGACAGGCAUCCACUCUGCCAUGUAUUAGUUGGAUCAUCCUUUGUGUGGUUGAAUUUGCUACGGUUUAAUUUGAUGUUGCUGGCAGUUGCUUGUUUGGGCUGUUUUUAUCGUCUUCUCCUGUCAGAUUAUGUGGUGCCGCCACGCAUUUUUGAGGUUAAGUUUGGCCAUCAAUUUAACCAACGAAAUAACUGUUAUGGUUUUGCAAUGCUUAUAGAGCAUCUACAUACAACCUGCAAAUAUACAAGUGCAUAUAAAAAGACAAGCAGUAGCAGCAGAAAACUACUCGAAAGAAACUUGCAGUAA